CAAUAGCGUAUAUUAAAGUUGUUGCGGCUAAAAAGCUCGUAGUUGGAUUUCUGCUGAGAACGACCGGUCCGCCCUUUGGGUGUGUAUCUGGCUCUUUCUUGGCAUCUUCUUGGUGAACGUUGCUGCACUUGACUGUGUGGAGCGCUACCCAGGACUUUUACUUUGAGGAAAUUAGAGUGUUUCAAGCAGGCAUACGCCUUGAAUACAUUAGCAUGGAAUAAUAAGAUAGGACCUCGGUUCUAUUUUGUUGGUUUCUAGAGCUGAGGUAAUGAUUAAUAGGGAUAGUUGGGGGCAUUAGUAUUUAAUUGUCAGAGGUGGAAUUCUCAGAUUUGUUAAAGACUAACUUAUGCGAAAGCAUUUGCCAAGGAUGUUUUCAUUAA
RNAcentral lists this ribosomal RNA (380 nucleotides) under uncultured eukaryote. RNAcentral describes it as "partial 18S ribosomal RNA". It matches the Rfam family "Eukaryotic small subunit ribosomal RNA", at positions 592 to 976 of the family's 1831-position model. The record is from RNAcentral.